This 1522-nucleotide long non-coding RNA is filed under the name Olea europaea (common olive). Its description in RNAcentral is "long non-coding RNA (OEUR_LNC005767)". Lineage: Eukaryota; Viridiplantae; Streptophyta; Magnoliopsida; Lamiales; Oleaceae. The record is from RNAcentral.
AAUAUUUUAAUGGAUAAUAUGGGAGCUGAGAACAUAGGGUUUCAUCACCAGCAAAAUUCUGAAACUGUUAAAAGUAAUUGCUUUUAUUGUCACCUUUAGUUUUAGAUAUUUAAGUUUUUAUUUUUUUGGCUUUUUCGGUUAAUCCCAUCUAUCUGCGCUUAUAGAGCACAAACAUGCUAUUAGCUUCAUUCCCUAAUUUGAGAAGGCACAAGCUAAGAUGAAAAAUGGAUGCACCAUCUUCAUUACACAAUUUCAAAAGGCAUUCUUACUCUCUUUCUUUAACCUAUAUUUUUUUGUGUUCUAUGAUUAUUUUUGUGUAAUCUUCCCACUUAAUGGUAUUGGCAUCAUAUUCAUGUGAUAAUUUAAAGAACUAUUAAAUAUUAUGUUUCUAAGUUGAGUUUUUAUUUAGUCUUAUGUCCCUUUUGGACGAGCUCACCUUUUCUAUUCGCCUAAACUCCUUCAUUUCAUGUCUAUGUAUUUUUUUAUACCUAGGUGAUUACAUAGUCAACUACGCCAUGUCACAUGCCUUACACAUGUGUCUUACUAAUGUCUUUAAAUAAAUGUGUGUUUGUGUGUGUAGAAUUAAAAACAGUUUCUAAAGAAUUAAAAAUAUAGUACUAGAGGAGGGGUGGAGAAGGCGGUGGUAGUGUAGGAGGAGUCGAGGAUCUGGUGCUGAUAGUGGUUAAGAUUCUGGAUAUAGGUCUAUCUAUGGUCGGGAUAUGGGUCACAAGUCAUAGGUUGUUGUGCAGAAGUCACAAAUAACUAUCCACAUGUCGCAAAUUAAGUAGAACUGGUCACAAAUUAUGUUUACAGUUCAUGUCAUACUUCACAAAUCAUAUGUCAUAUUAUAUAGGUCACGAUCAAAUUAACUGGUCAUAAAUCACAUGUCACAUCUUUAUUCACUAGCAGGUCAUAGAUUCUAGUUUAUAGGUCACAACUCAUAUGUUAUAUGUUAUAAGCAACAAUUCAGAAGUUAUAGGUCAUAUUUUAUAGGUAAUAGAUUAAUAUUUUCAUGUCAUAGAUCAUAUUGUGCCUAGGUUAGAGAUAAAUGUACACAGGUCAUGGAUUAUGUUUACAUGUCCUAGAUCAUAAUUCAUAGGUCAUAGAUCACCCCGCGUAUAUCUUAUCAUUGAGUCUUGGGGUGAACCAAAGGCAAGGGAAUGAAGACUCGGCUAAGUCGGGAGUGUAUCAUCAGAUUUGGCUACAAAGAAAGGAGCUCGAAGUGGACCGACUGGUCGAACAGAGAUGUAGAGGCAGAAGGCCAAGAGCCUAGUCGUGCAAAGAUCCAAGCAGUGUAUUUUGAUUCGACGAAACUGUAUAAUGAGAAAAUGGAGUUAAUUUGUUUACCUUCGAUUCGAACUUCUUUAAAGGUCACAGUUCGUAUGUUACAUAUCACAUACCACGUCAUAUUGUAUAAGUAAUAGAUAGAUGUCCACGUCACAAAUCAAAUAUAACUGGUCAAAGGACAUUGAUUUCUCUAACCUCAGUUUGGGAUCAUUGCCUUCAAAAAUUCUAAUACACA